UACGGAGGGGGCUAGCGUUGUUCGGAAUUACUGGGCUUAAAGCGCACGUAGGCGGCUUUGUAAGUUAGAGGUGAAAGCCCAGGGCUCAACCCUGGAAUUGCCUUUAAGACUGCAUCGCUUGAACAUCGGAGAGGUAAGUGGAAUUCCGAGUGUAGAGGUGAAAUUCGUAGAUAUUCGGAAGAACACCAGUGGCGAAGGCGACUUACUGGACGAUUGUUGACGCUGAGGUGCGAAAGCGUGGGGAGCAAACAGG
RNAcentral lists this ribosomal RNA (253 nucleotides) under uncultured bacterium. Its description in RNAcentral is "partial 16S ribosomal RNA". It matches the Rfam family "Bacterial small subunit ribosomal RNA", at positions 524 to 776 of the family's 1533-position model. The record is from RNAcentral.